AGGACCUUGAAACAAAUGGAGGGUGAACCAGUAAAAGCAAGCUGUUGGAAUUACAUAGUAAGAGAAAGUCAAGAGGUCUCCAUCUGUAUUCAAAAUGUAAACUGGCCACAAAAUUCUAAUGGAGGAAACAAUGAAUCUAUGCUAUCGCUAUCAAAACUACUACCAUCAUCAUGAAACCUGAAGCCAAACUGAGACUAAAUCAACAAACAAAAUGCCUCCUGUGAUGGUUAGUUUUAUGUGUCAACUCUGCUAAGCUUUAGUGCAUAGCGGUUUGCUCAAACACCAGUCUAUAUGUUGCUUUCAGAUGUGAUACACAUUUAUAAACACAAGACCUUAGGUAAAGCUGGUUACUCUCCAUAAUAUGGGUGAGACUCAUCCAAUCAAUUGGGGGCCUGAAGCGCAAAGACUGAGGUUAUCCAAGGACAAAAUAAUUAUGUCAUAAGAGUGCAUUGUAGAAAUUCUGCAUUUCUGGCCUGCUUGGCCUAUCCUAUGGAUUUAGGAGUCAAGACUGCAGUAUCAACUCUUCUAUGAAUUUAUAGCCUGCUAGCCCAACCUAUAGAUUUCAUAUGUGCUAGCCUCUGCAAUUGUGUGAGCCAAAUCCUUGAAAUAAAUCUUUUACCCUUCUA
Long non-coding RNA from Suricata suricatta (meerkat), 626 nucleotides. RefSeq lists it as uncharacterized. Lineage: Eukaryota; Metazoa; Chordata; Mammalia; Carnivora; Herpestidae. The record is from RefSeq and is a predicted model, not a curated record. The transcript is spliced from 2 exons.